Molecule: ribosomal RNA, 539 nt
Filed under: uncultured Polaribacter sp.
Lineage: Bacteria; Pseudomonadati; Bacteroidota; Flavobacteriia; Flavobacteriales; Flavobacteriaceae
Description: bacterial SSU rRNA
Rfam family: Bacterial small subunit ribosomal RNA
Source: RNAcentral
UUGUGCUUGCACAGAUGACGACCGGCGCACGGGUGCGUAACGCGUAUAGAACCUACCUUUUACAGAGGAAUAGCCUUUAGAAAUGAAGAUUAAUGCCUCAUGGUAUUGUAGACUGGCAUCAGUUUAUAAUUAAAGAUUUAUCGGUAAAAGAUGGCUAUGCGUCCUAUUAGUUAGUUGGUAAGGUAACGGCUUACCAAGACAGCGAUAGGUAGGGGUCCUGAGAGGGAGAUCCCCCACACUGGUACUGAGACACGGACCAGACUCCUACGGGAGGCAGCAGUGAGGAAUAUUGGACAAUGGAGGAGACUCUGAUCCAGCCAUGCCGCGUGUAGGAAGAAUGCCCUAUGGGUUGUAAACUACUUUUAUACAGGAAGAAACACUGGUAUGUAUACCAGCUUGACGGUACUGUAAGAAUAAGGACCGGCUAACUCCGUGCCAGCAGCCGCGGUAAUACGGAGGGUCCGAGCGUUAUCCGGAAUCAUUGGGUUUAAAGGGUCCGCAGGCGGUCGAUUAAGUCAGAGGUGAAAUCCCAUAGCUCA